UGUCCAGGGAUGGGAAUCGAACCCACAGUGUUCCGCUUACCGGGCAGAUGCCAUGUCCACUAUGCCUCCCUGGAC
Non-coding RNA from Cordylochernes scorpioides, 75 nucleotides. Lineage: Eukaryota; Metazoa; Arthropoda; Arachnida; Pseudoscorpiones; Chernetidae. The record is from the annotation of a GenBank genome assembly.